Molecule: non-coding RNA, 75 nt
Organism: Monosiga brevicollis MX1
Lineage: Eukaryota; Choanoflagellata; Craspedida; Salpingoecidae
Source: Rfam
UUAGCUCAGUCGGUAGAGCAUCAGACUCUUAAUCUGAGGGUCACGGGUUCGAGAUGACUGUUCGACCUCCCCGUA